Camelina sativa (false flax) is the source of this 5150-nucleotide non-coding RNA. The record is from RefSeq and is a predicted model, not a curated record. NCBI's taxonomy places the organism in Eukaryota, Viridiplantae, Streptophyta, Magnoliopsida, Brassicales, Brassicaceae.
UUAAUUUUAUUUAUAUUUUGGGUUCUCUCUGCGAAGAGCGAAGCCGCUCUGUCGCCGCCGGUGGUCUCUCGAGACGAUGAUGAAUCGAUGAAGCCGAAGGGAAGACCCGAUUGUAGUAGAGAUAUACGUUCUAUCCAAGUUAAGUCUUGUCUUAUCCAACGGUGGGAGAUGUUUUCCAGUCCAAAACACGAACGGGCCAAUUUCUAAAGAGGAAUUAGCGAAGACUACGAUGAUCGACGAGCCCUUCUUAUUUCUUGUUUGGGUUUUUUUUUUUCUUUCGGACAAGAUUGCAAAACCAUCAUCGAGUCGAGACGUGUAGGAGAGAUUGCGUGUCUGCUACUCUGUUCUUGCUUCCUCAAUCCUCACCCACCAAUUCAACUCGUCUCGAUCUCUCUCUUCUCCCCCACGGUUUGUCUUCCCAAUUUUGUGCUUCUUGUUCCUUUUCUUCGUUUCUGAUUUCUGUUGAUUUGGUUUUUUUUCCUUUUUUUUUUUUUUUUCUUGUGAAGCGACGAAAGUAGAUUCAGAACAUGGUCGCUAUGCUAGGGUUUGAAGAACUGACAAAGAAGAUUCAGAACCAACACUGAGAUGCCUUACAAUAACAACAUCAAACAAACAAACUGAUUGAACCCUAUGCCUACGACUCUACGAGCUAGUUCUCUGGUACUCAGACUGCUCCUAAAGUACGACAGAGCUCUCUGGUCUGGUUUAUAGUGCAGCCGGGAAAGUGGAUUUGGAUCUUCCAAUCAUAAGUCAUAACACACUUUUGGAUCCUCUGAUUGGAGAGAACCCCUUCAAUGUUAAAGUUGCUCAAGUGGAUGAAACAUAGAACUCUCAGCCAUUAUAUAUUGAUGGACAGCUUCUUCUCCCACGGCCCCCAUAAAUACCUCUUGUAUGGAGAUGGAGAUAUAUCUCGACAAAGGCAGAUCAUAUGCUCGCUUUACCUAAGGUAAUUAACAAACCUCUUCUUAGAGUGGACAGCAAGGUAAGCAUUGUAAUGGAGCUAUGGAGUUGGGUGGAAUGGAAAAGUGUUGGCAAUGGAAGAUACAUUAAAGAAGGAGCCACAAGUGAAGAGCCGAGAUGUUUGUUUGUUCAGUUGACUGGUGGACUUUGAGGAGGCUGCUGUUUGGAGAGAGCAAACUCAAAAAAGGCCAAGCAGGCCGACAAAGGCCCAAUAACAACAACUUCAGCCCAUCAAACAAGACAUGCCCAGCCCAGGGAAAAUUUUCCAGCAAUUAAAAUUUCUCAGGUGUGAAUAGAGAGAGAGAGGGAGAGAGAGCACUGUGCAUUCACCGCCGCACCGGUGUAACGGUACCAGCAGCAAUUCAUCUUCUCUCCUCCAUGGUUUGUCUUCCCAAUUCUUGUGAUGUUAUGACUUAUGUGUAGAGUGGCUGAGCCGCUGAGACGAGAACUAUGGACUAUUUUGGGUCAGAGUUUUGGUGGCUUCCGUGCACUUUACUACGCCGUAAGGACUCAAUCAAGUGCUCAUAACUUGUACACAUGAUUGUUGUCAAGGUCUGCUUCUCUGAAGCUUGGAGAGAGCCAAACUCAAUGGCCAAGAUUUGUACAUGAUGCCCUAGUGAAAUUGCUGGGUGGAGGAGAAGUAUUUGGUACUCUCAAAGAGGAAGCAAAAGACAACGAGUCCCUUGAAAAAGACCUCUUCGGAUACAAUUAGAUUUGCGAGGCCAGAGCUAUGGGGCUGGUUGAAAUCGAAGACUGUUGGCCAUGGAAGGUACAUUACACAAGGAGCCAAGUGAAGAGCUCAGAUGUUUCUUCAGUUCUAUUAGUGACCAAUCCGUUGGGAUGGGGAGUCAUUCGUGGAGUCAGACCAGAUCAGCAGUUGGUCAAGAUUGUACUUGAUGAGCUACUGAAAUUGGUGGGUGGAUGAGAUAGUAUCUGAGCUACAUUUUCUUGUACUCAGAGCUGCAUUCACCGGGCUACCAGCAUUUCAGCUCCUCUCUCUCCAUGCGAGACGAGAGAUAUGGAGGUAGUUGAAAUCAAUGACUGUUGGCCAUGGAAGAUACAUUACAGAAGGAGCCAAGUGAAAAGCCAAGAUGUUUGUUCUGUUGACUGGUGGACUCGAGGAUGCUGCUUGCAGACCAAACUCAAAGGUCAAGUAACCAAACCGUUGGGAUGGGAGUCAUUCGUCGAGUCAAACCAGAUCAGCAAUUGGCCAAGCUAGUCAAAUUGAUGGGUGGAGGAGAAGUAUAUGAGCUACACUUCCUUGUACGCAGAGCUGCAUUCACCGGGCGACCAGCAAUUAAGCUUCUCUCUUUCUUCUACACGGUUUCUACAAAAUACCAUCUUUAUGCCAUUGUGGAGCAUCUUUGGAAUAUAGCAUCUUUUGGUCAUUACUCCUCUUAUGUGAUGUCAGCUCCUCAGAUAUGGCAUACGUUUGAUGACGCCAAGGGAAGUCUGGUGCCGAAGAAGUCAACUUUCCCUUCUGGUAUUAAAAGCACCUGCGGAUAUGUUCACAGCUCGGGAUUUACUCAGAUGUCGGGUAUUUUACCUGCAGCAAAAGCAUGCCAGGUUCUUUAGGCCAUGAGGAGCAUGAUGCCAAUACCUUUGCAGAAUGGGUGCGUUAGAUGUCAUUCUUGUAUUCUCACAUUCUCUUAGACAACGAGUCCCUUGAAAAGACCUCUUCGGAUACAAUUACAUUUGCGAGGCAAGAGAUAUGGAGCUGGUUGAAAUCGAAGAUAUGGAGUUUGGUAGGUGCAUGUUGGCCAUGAAAGUUGCAUUACGGAAGGAGCCAAGUUAAGAGCCAAGCUGUUUGUUCGGUUGAGGAGGCCGCUUGCCCUUGAGCUCAAAGGCCAAGGUUUUUUUGAAACAAAUUUAUGAUCCGAUCAUCAUCGCUCGCUCCCUCCUCCUACGGUUUGAUUCUAAAGGAAUGGGAUCAGUACUGUCUCUUGAUGCUUUGUGAUGCUACUUACUAAGGUUGACGCUAUAGAUGGAAUUGUCUAUGUAUGAUGUAUACGACUCUACAAGGUUUUGGAUGAUGCUUUUAUCAUCAAUCAGUGAUCUUCCUCAGGCAUUCUCAUGGGUUCCUUUUGCUCUAAACACAUCUCUUUUAUUUGUCUCUGAAUAUUCACUUUGGUUCUAUGGUCUUCUUUUUCUUCUCAUUACAUGUUAAUAUCUACUUGUCGUUUUUAUCAUUUCAGGUUUUGGAUGAUGCUUUUAUCAUUCAGUGAUGGGUUUGACUGAUCGGACUAGAUCAGCAGUUGGUGAAGAUUGUACAUGAUGAGCUAGUCAAAUUGAUGGGCGGAGAAGAGGUGUCUGAGCUACACUUCCUUGUACUCAGAGCUGCAUUCACCGGACUACCAGCAUUUCUGCUCCUCUCUCUCCUCCACGAACACGGUCUCCGGCGUUCAUACCGUAACAUCAUCAAACUGAUUUUGAAGAUCGGUGAUAUGCUAGGGUUUGAAGAUUCAGAACCGAAACAAGAGAUGAACUUCACCUUACAGUAACAACAUCAAACUGGUUCUAGGUACUCAUUUAUAUAUAAUCCACCUUAUACUCUUUUACCGAGGAGGAGCUAUCUGGUGCUCAUCCUGCUCAAGUACUACAGAGCUUUGUGCAGGGAAAGUGGAUUGGAUCUUCCAAUCAUAACAUGCUUUCGGAUCCUCUGAAUGGAGAGAAUCUUUCAAUAUUAAAGUGGAUGAAACAGAAACUCAGCCUUUAUAUAUGUGGACAGCUUCUCCCAGUGCCCUCAUGCAUGUGGUCUCCAUAACCCUUUCAAAUCUCCAGAGAGAAGGUACUAUGGAGAUAUCUUGGCAAAGACCAGCUCAUAUGCUCGCCUUACUAAGAUUGAGUCAUUUGAUACCUUUUGCUACCCUAGAUGCCAAGGAGCUAUCUGGUGCUCAUCCUGCUGAAGUACAGAGCUUUGUGGAGGUAAAGUGGAUUGGAUCUUCUAAUCACCACACGCUUUUAGAUUCUCUAAAUGGAGAACCUCUCAUUAAAGUUGCUGAAGUUGAUGAAACAGUAACUCAACCAUACAUGCUCCAAAUAGCUACCAGCAAGCUGCAGGAGAAGUCUUUGUCACACGGAAAUUUUUGGAGAACUGUUGCGGUGGUUAGUUGACUAGUGGACUGGAGGAGGCUGCUUGAAGAUCAAACUCAACGGCCAAGGAAGCUGCUUGUAGAUCAAACUAAUAUCGACAGGGUAUCAAAGAAGAUUGGUAUGAUGUAGGAAGCAUUGCGUUUCCAGUGAUUCUUGUCAGAGCUGUCAGUGACUACAAACAGCAUCUCCAUUUUCAAAACUUGAGUGAUGAAAAGAGAAACAUACAUCUAGAGGUGACAAGAGGUGGAAGGCGAGUGGAUAUUUCAAUCUAUGACACAUUGUGGUGGGUGAUGUCAUACCUCUCAACAUUGGAAAUCAGAAGCUGUAAGUUCCGAAUGGGAGAUGUGCUUUUGUAGAGAAGGCAACAUAAGCUCUGAUGAAGCCACGGUUGGAGUCCAUCCGGGAGGAAAUGCAAAACAAGGGCACCGUUACGAUGGCAGGUCAAAAAAAAAAUGAAGAAGAAUUUGUUUAAAGAUUUACAGAUACGGUGUCACUCCAUUCACUCCAAUGAAAGGGAUGCUUAUUCAGGGGCCUCUGUUCAUCUGCUUUUUUCUUGCUAUUCGAAAUAUGGCGAAAUUCCAAACAGGAGGGGUAUUUUAGUUUACCGAUCUAACAACUCCCGGCAGCUUAUACAUCUUGCCGGUUAUAACAGGACUGUCAUUCUUGAUAACCGUUGAGUGAUUAAGCGCAUACCUGAACUGCCUCCAAGUCCUCCAGGUCAACAACCAUCAUUUGACCUGAUUUCAGCUCUGAAGAAAAUGAAAGCCAUGACGCAGGACCAUUCACAGAACCAGACACUGCCACCUUCGCCAGCUGUAAACCCGAGGGCAACAUCGUUGAGUCCUGUAAGUAAGAGGCUCAAGGCUUUGGAGAGCGAAGAAAGGGAAGGAAGAAGAACAGCUUACAACAGCAAGAAGAGGUCAUCGAUCCGAAGUGGUGCAUACUAAUUUUUGUUAGAGGAAAAUUGAAUAAAGAUUUUGGAUUUAAAAAGUGAACUACUGUAGUAGCUUACACAGAGAGAUUUUUAUCAUUAUUGUUGGAACGUGAUGACUUUUUAAUAUUUUCUCCGUUUCAAAAUAUAUGAUGUUUUAACUAAA